RNAcentral lists this ribosomal RNA (501 nucleotides) under uncultured bacterium. RNAcentral's name for it is "partial 16S ribosomal RNA". It matches the Rfam family "Bacterial small subunit ribosomal RNA", at positions 29 to 523 of the family's 1533-position model. The record is from RNAcentral.
AUUGAACGCUGGCGGCAUGCCUUACACAUGCAAGUCGAACGGCAGCACGGGUGCUUGCACCUGGUGGCGAGUGGCGAACGGGUGAGUAAUACAUCGGAACGUACCUUAUCGUGGGGGAUAACGCAGCGAAAGCUGUGCUAAUACCGCAUACGCCCUGAAGGGGAAAGCGGGGGAUCGAAAGACCUCGCGCGAUUAGAGCGGCCGAUGCCUGAUUAGCUUGUUGGUGGGGUAAAAGCCCACCAAGGCGACGAUCAGUAGCUGGUCUGAGAGGACGAUCAGCCACACUGGGACUGAGACACGGCCCAGACUCCUGCGGGGGGCAGCAGUGGGGAAUUUUGGACAAUGGGGGCAACCCUGAUCCAGCAAUGCCGCGUGAGUGAAGAAGGCCUUCGGCUUGUAAAGCUCUUUUGUCAGGGAAGAAACACCGGCUCUAACACAGUCCGGGAAUGACGGUACCUGAAGAAUAAGCACCGGCUAACUACGUGCCAGCAGCCGCCGUAA